GUAACGGCGAGUGAAGCGGCAACAGCUCAAAUUUGAAAUCUGGUCCUUUCAGGGCCCGAGUUGUAAUUUGCAGAGGAUGCUUCGGGUACGGGUGCCUACUGAGUUCCCUGGAACGGGACGCCAUAGAGGGUGAGAGCCCCGUCUAGUAGGAUACCCAGCCCAUGUGAAGCUCCCUCGACGAGUCGAGUAGUUUGGGAAUGCUGCUCUAAUGGGAGGUAUACUCCUUCCAAGGCUAAAUACCGGCUGGAGACCGAUAGCGCACAAGUAGAGUGAUCGAAAGAUGAAAAGCACUUUGAAAAGAGAGUCAAAUAGCACGUGAAAUUGUUGAAAGGGAAGCGCUCGCUACCAGACUUGAGUUAGGCGGUUCAACCGGGGCCACGCCCCGGGGCACUCCACCUGCUCAGGCCAGCAUCAGCUUUCCGUCGGGGGCAAAGGCGUCGGGAAUGUGGCUCUCCUCCGGGAGAGUGUUAUAGCCCGGCGUGUCAUACCCUUCGGGGGGCUGAGGUACGCGCUUCUGCAAGGAUGCUGGCGUAAUGGUAGCUAGUGACCCGUCUUGAAACACGGACCAAGGAGUCAACCUUAUGUGCGAGUGCCCGGGCGUAAAACCCCAGCGCGGAAUGAAAGUGAACGUAGGUGAGAGCUUCGGCGCAUCACCGACCGAUCCUGAUGUCCUCGGACGGAUUUGAGUGAGAGCAUAUAGGGUUGGACCCGAAAGAAGAUGAACUAUGCGUGUGUAGGGUGAAGCCAGAGGAAACUCUGGUGGAGGCUCGCAGCGGUUCUGACGUGCAAAUCG
RNAcentral lists this unclassified non-coding RNA (793 nucleotides) under Chordomyces antarcticum. RNAcentral describes it as "sequence contains 28S rRNA gene". It matches the Rfam family "Eukaryotic large subunit ribosomal RNA", at positions 83 to 900 of the family's 3401-position model. Lineage: Eukaryota; Fungi; Ascomycota; Sordariomycetes; Glomerellales; Plectosphaerellaceae. The record is from RNAcentral.